GGUCAAUGAUGUGUUGGCAUGUAUUACCUGAAUUUACUGUGAUGUGUAAUAUCACUUGAAGCUCUAGAAUUACGCUGAGGCCUU
Camelus dromedarius (Arabian camel) is the source of this 84-nucleotide small nucleolar RNA. Ensembl annotates it as small nucleolar RNA, C/D box 45A. Its record names the gene SNORD45A. NCBI's taxonomy places the organism in Eukaryota, Metazoa, Chordata, Mammalia, Artiodactyla, Camelidae. The record is from Ensembl.